RNAcentral lists this long non-coding RNA (284 nucleotides) under Mytilus galloprovincialis (Mediterranean mussel). The record is from RNAcentral. Lineage: Eukaryota; Metazoa; Mollusca; Bivalvia; Mytilida; Mytilidae.
UGAAAUUAUACCACAUAUUUCAAUAUCAUGAAAGGAUGGUCAGUAUUGACUUUGGGGGUUGAUGGCUCAAAAUGUUUUGGAAAUGGGGGCAAAAAAAAGGGGAAAAACUAGGUUUUUCUUGUCAAUGGAUAAUUAAGAAAAUUUAAAAGCAGUGUGAGGGAGGUAAAUCAAAAACAUUUAACAUACAAUGUUGGGUAUGUUAGGAUUUACCUCCCUUACAUUACUUGUAAAUUAUGUAUAAAGAAAUGUCAGUCAGGUUUUGGACUUGUUGCACAAAAAAAGGG